RNAcentral lists this ribosomal RNA (406 nucleotides) under uncultured bacterium. RNAcentral describes it as "partial 16S ribosomal RNA". It matches the Rfam family "Bacterial small subunit ribosomal RNA", at positions 28 to 526 of the family's 1533-position model. The record is from RNAcentral.
GACGAACGCUGGCGGCGUGCCUAAUACAUGCAAGUAGAACGAAUUGCGAACGGGUGAGUAAUGUCUGGGAAACUGCCCGCUGGAGGGGGAUAACUACUGGAACCGGUAGCUAAUACCGCAUACCAUCGGAUGUGCCCAGAUGGGAUUAGCUAAUAGGUGGGGUAACGUCUCACCUAGGCGACGAUACCUAGCUGGUCUGAGAGGAUGACCAGCCACACGGGAACUGAGACACGGUCCAGACUCCUACGGGAGGCAGCAGUGGGGAAUAUUGCACAAUGGGCGCAAGCCUGAUGCAGCCAUGCCGCGUGUAUGAAGAAGGCCUUCGGGUUGUAAAGUACUUUCAGCGAGGAGGCGUUACUCGCAGAAGAAGCACCGGCUAACUCCGUGCCAGCAGCCGCGGUAAUUC